AGAAUCAACGCUGGCGGCGUGCCUAACACAUGCAAGUCGAACGAGAAAGGGUAGCAAUACCUGAGUAAAGUGGCGCACGGGUGAGUAACACGUGACUAACCUACCCUGGAGUGGGGGAUAACUGAGGGAAACCUUAGCUAAUACCGCAUAACACCUACGGGUCAAAGGAGCAAUUCGCUUCAGGAGGGGGUCGCGGCCGAUUAGUUAGUUGGCGGGGUAAUGGCCCACCAAGACAGUGAUCGGUAUCCGGCCUGAGAGGGCGCACGGACACACUGGAACUGAAACACGGUCCAGACUCCUACGGGAGGCAGCAGUGGGGAAUUUUGCGCAAUGGGGGAAACCCUGACGCAGCAACGCCGCGUGGAGGAUGAAGUCCCUUGGGAUGUAAACUCCUUUCGACCGGGAAGAUACUGACGGUACCGGUAGAAGAAGCACCGGCUAACUCUGCGCCAGCAGCCGC
Molecule: ribosomal RNA, 460 nt
Filed under: uncultured bacterium
Lineage: Bacteria
Description: SSU rRNA
Rfam family: Bacterial small subunit ribosomal RNA
Source: RNAcentral